Molecule: ribosomal RNA, 385 nt
Filed under: uncultured bacterium
Lineage: Bacteria
Description: bacterial SSU rRNA
Rfam family: Bacterial small subunit ribosomal RNA
Source: RNAcentral
AUUGAACGCUGGCGGCAUGCUUUACACAUGCAACUCGAACGGUAACAGGGAGCUUGCUCCGCUGACGAGUGGCGAACGGGUGAGUAAUGCAUCGGAGCGUGCCGUGUAAUGGGGGAUAACGUAGCGAAAGUUACGCUAAUACCGCAUACGCCCUGAGGGGGAAAGUGGGGGACCGCAAGGCCUCACGUUAUACGAGCGGCCGAUGUCGGAUUAGCUAGUUGGUGGGUAAAGGCCUACCAAGGCGACGAUCCGUAGCGGGUCUGAGAGGAUGAUCCGCCACACUGGGACUGAGACACGGCCCAGACUCCUACGGGAGGCAGCAGUGGGGAAUUUUGGACAAUGGGGGCAACCCUGAUCCAGCCAUGCCGCGUGAGUGAAGAAGGCC